This is a non-coding RNA of Anolis sagrei ordinatus, 287 nucleotides long. NCBI's taxonomy places the organism in Eukaryota, Metazoa, Chordata, Lepidosauria, Squamata, Anolidae. The record is from RefSeq and is a predicted model, not a curated record.
GGGAGAACAGUUGGGAAGAAACAUAAUGGAAAGUGUCUUAAGGAUUUCUGUGAGGGAUUUUCAGCAGAAACCAAAAUGUGCCCUUUGAACUAUCAACCUCACUGUGGUUCUGAUGGCCAGACAUAUGCCAACCAAUGUGACUUCUGCGUUAAAGCCCUGAAUAGUGCUGAACCUGUGUACUUAAGGAGUUAUGGACAAUGUGAGAUACCUACUAAUGAAUGAUCAAGAAACAUUCCCUAACUAGAGUGUUGGGUUUGCAAUUUGGCAUUAAAACAUUUAACUUGCAA